Molecule: ribosomal RNA, 253 nt
Filed under: uncultured bacterium
Lineage: Bacteria
Description: partial 16S ribosomal RNA
Rfam family: Bacterial small subunit ribosomal RNA
Source: RNAcentral
UACGUAGGGUCCGAGCGUUGUCCGGAAUUACUGGGCGUAAAGAGCUCGUAGGUGGUUUGUCGCGUCGUUCGUGAAAACUCACAGCUCAACUGUGGGCGUGCGGGCGAUACGGGCAGACUGGAGUACUGCAGGGGAGACUGGAAUUCCUGGUGUAGCGGUGGAAUGCGCAGAUAUCAGGAGGAACACCGGUGGCGAAGGCGGGUCUCUGGGCAGUAACUGACGCUGAGGAGCGAAAGCGUGGGGAGCGAACAGG